GUCGAGCGCCCCGCAAGGGGAGCGGCAGACGGGUGAGUAACGCGUGGGAACGUACCCUUUACUACGGAAUAACGCAGGGAAACUUGUGCUAAUACCGUAUGUGCCCUUCGGGGGAAAGAUUUAUCGGUAAGGGAUCGGCCCGCGUUGGAUUAGCUAGUUGGUGGGGUAAAGGCCUACCAAGGCGACGAUCCAUAGCUGGUCUGAGAGGAUGAUCAGCCACAUUGGGACUGAGACACGGCCCAAACUCCUACGGGAGGCAGCAGUGGGGAAUAUUGGACAAUGGGCGCAAGCCUGAUCCAGCCAUGCCGCGUGAGUGAUGAAGGCCCUAGGGUUGUAAAGCUCUUUCACCGGAGAAGAUAAUGACGGUAUCCGGAGAAGAAGCCCCGGCUAACUUCGUGCCAG
This 402-nucleotide ribosomal RNA is filed under the name bacterium S1-017-16S. RNAcentral describes it as "bacterial SSU rRNA". It matches the Rfam family "Bacterial small subunit ribosomal RNA", at positions 61 to 511 of the family's 1533-position model. The record is from RNAcentral.